RNAcentral lists this unclassified non-coding RNA (345 nucleotides) under soil metagenome. Its description in RNAcentral is "partial contains 5.8S ribosomal RNA, internal transcribed spacer 2, and large subunit ribosomal RNA". The stretch from base 1 to 120 matches the Rfam family "5.8S ribosomal RNA", at positions 35 to 154 of the family's 154-position model. The record is from RNAcentral.
GAUGAAGAACGUGGCGAAAUGCGAUACGUAAUGUGAAUUGCAGAAUUCAGUGAAUCAUCGAGUCUUUGAACGCACAUUGCGCCCCCUGGUAUUCCGGGGGGCAUGCCUGUCCGAGCGUCAUUGCUGCCCUCAAGCACGGCUUGUGUGUUGGGCCUCCGUCCUCCUCCCGGGGGACGGGCCCGAAAGGCAGCGGCGGCACCGCGUCCGGUCCUCGAGCGUAUGGGGCUUCGUCACCCGCUCUUGUAGGCCCGGCCGGCGCUUGCCGACACAUCAAUCUUUUUUCCAGGUUGACCUCGGAUCAGGUAGGGAUACCCGCUGAACUUAAGCAUAUCAAUAAGCGGAGGA